CAAAACUUUAGCGCCAUUUAGUGCUCAAGUUUUUCUUGUGCUUUUGUUCAUCGACGUUGUCAAAUGGGCUUCUUCUUCUUCUUUUUAGUUUAAUAGCGGCUGGUAAACCAGCUUACAAGUGCACUACCGCCACCUGCUGCACUGGAGUGUGGCUCCGCCAAUAAAUGUCCACACCUUUUCCGGCUUUUAAGCCAAUCAGCGAUGCGCCCUGCGUGAACACGGGGUUUGAAAUGUGGAGAGACUCGGCUAAGCUAGACGACAAAGAAAGUUAACCUGGUUUUGUUCUGCACUACUUCCUGUCCAACACAGAGGACCCAUGCCAGCGGCUAUGGCGAAUGAUACCGCGUGGAUGACGACGUGGAAUAUGGACACAAAUCCCAGCAACAGAUGCUGUGGUGUAGAUGUCAUGGAAGGUCCUCUUCGCCUUCUCCCAGGCAGAACUCCAAGCUCCAUGACCUGAUGACAUGAGCUCCCUCAUUCCUUAAGGUCUGUGUCUGAAUGUCAUCUGUUUGCUGAGCUACAGGAAUGAUUUUCUCUUGUUUCCAAAGGACAUGCUGUCAUUUUAGUCAGCUGCACAUUUUCUUUAAAUCAGUCAUGUUUUAUGAGAAACAUGCCAUCUGGUAUAAAAUUUUUACAAGUAUUAGCCCUGUACUCUAAUUGGUUUGUCAUAGAUUAUCUUUACCUGUUUGUUUUGGCUUUAUUUGGUUUGACACAUUUCUUUCAUCAUAUUUGUCCUAUGGUCAGCUGAGCUUUUUUAGUGAUGACAGUUAAUGCAGCUGCUCACCAUCAGAUGAACCAGUCUGAAGAUUGGACAGCUUAUGCUUACAUGAGAUGACCCAAAUAUAUCCUGCCAGCAAAAGUAGGUGGAGGAAGUCCGACCCCAAAACUGUGAGGAGUCGGACAAGAUUUUGCAUCAGAAGAAAUAUCCAAAGUGGUGGAGAGCAUCAUGACCAACCUCGGAAGAUCUGUGUCAUUGGCUUAACUUCAACAUUUUCCUUCACUCUUACUACAGCAACAAUCAUCCAGGCAAAUACUGUAAUAAAAUGGCACAAACUUGUAUCAUAUUUCUAGCAUUUUGAUUUUUGGGUCAUAGCAUCCAGCUGUCAAAUAGCUGAAUUAAAGCAGCAGAGGGUUCAUUAAUCACUUUUGCUGAAAGUGUUUUGCAGAGGUGACAGCAACUGGACUCCUAAGAACGAUUACAGUUUCAGUGAAUGCCUUGCAUCAUCAGAGGCUUUAGCUCAUUUUAAAUAUCUGCUUGUUCUGUUGUUAUGUCAUCCAGCAGGGUUAGAAGUUUGUUUGCCUGGCACUAUGAUGUGUAUGUAUUAUUGUAGGGUCUACCUUACAAUAUAAAGUGGCUUGAGGUGACUGUUGUUGUGACUUGGCGCUAGAUAAAUAACAUUGAAUUGAAGCAAUCUGUAUUCGGAUUAUUUAUGUACCCAGGAAACGGUGAAAGUAACUGUGUAGUUGUAACAUCGAAGAUUCUCCGCAACAUAUGUGCAGGAAGCAAACCUGAGAUGGUUGGUGUUAAACUUAACAAUAUCCUGCUGUUCACCUGGUUAGCUGUAAUUAUACUGAUAAUGAAAUCACUGGUGUAUUUUUACACCUUAGAUACUGAUUUACACUGACUCUGCAGGUUUAGUGGAUCUGUCAAGUAUCAGUGGUUUACACAUGGAUUUCUUUUGAAUAAACCGUAAUUAGUAACUGGGGAACCGACAUAUGUAAUGUAGGUGUUUGGCACCAGUACAGAUCAUAUUACAGCGGUAUUGGCCAGAUAUGAAUAGAUUAUAGAGAACUGGCUUCUUCAUUUACAUGAACCAAAGAAUUUUAGGUACAUAUGACAAUCCAAUUUUUUUUUUCUUUGCAUAAAUGUAUUCAUUUUUAAUUUUAUGCCACCAAUAGUUGUCUAAAAAGUUGGAACAGAAGACUGAAAAAGCUGAAAAUCAAUAUUCAGUUGCUGUGUCUUUGUGCUGUCGGGUGGAAGUGCAUUAAAAAAAAGAUUCGGUAGUAGACAUCACUCUGUGGACUCAAAAGAAUUCUGAAAAUCCUCGUCAUUAAAGUUCAUUGCUACAUCCACAGAAAGCUUAAAUCUACUAUGUACGCUAAAAAAGGAACGCAGUGUUACAUCCAGGGUCAUUUAAGAUGGAUGGAGGUGAUGUGGAGAAUUGGCCUGUGGUCUGAGCCGGAAUUAGAAAAGGGGGGGAAAAAAGUGACGAUGGGGCCACAUUCAGGUUGGAUCAAUCUUCACUUUAAAAACAAAAAAUGUGCUGCUGGUAUUAAAUUAAAAAUGUGUACAUCCUCUCAGUAUCACAUUUCUAUCUGUUGAUUUUGUUUGGUUUUCAGUCAAUACAGAAGAAUUAAAUAACAUGACCUAUAUAAAUUAAAUUCAGACAUGUGACAAGUUGCUGUUCUCCAUGGUUGCCCAUCUCUGCUGUAGAGUAGGAUUUUAACCACCAGGUGGCAGUUGAAUAUCAGGCAUCCCCUCCAGUCUGUUGCCUAUAAUAAGGUAACACAUUGUACUGGAGUAAUUAGCGCCUCAAAACUGCACACACUGAUAACUCCUGCAGCAUCGUUUUUCAUCCGUAUCCUGUGGUGCACACACCAUGUAGGUUUCUGUGGAGAUGAACUUCACAAUCGCACUCGCACAAACGUGUUUUAACAUUGUUUUAAUGUAAAUGUGUAAGACUGGCAUUACCUCAGCUGUGUUGCUACACUUUGAAUCACUUCUAGCCUUUAAAGUAAAAAGUUUAACAAUUUAAAGUGCAAAAUGGGUAAAUUCACAUGUUUUGGGGGGAUGCAUAUGUAAUCAAAUAUAUUUUGAACCUACUGACCUGGUA
Molecule: long non-coding RNA, 2834 nt
Organism: Oreochromis aureus
Lineage: Eukaryota; Metazoa; Chordata; Actinopteri; Cichliformes; Cichlidae
Source: Ensembl